RNAcentral lists this ribosomal RNA (320 nucleotides) under uncultured eukaryote. Its description in RNAcentral is "partial 18S ribosomal RNA". It matches the Rfam family "Eukaryotic small subunit ribosomal RNA", at positions 1470 to 1796 of the family's 1831-position model. The record is from RNAcentral.
CCCUUAGAUAGUCUGGGCUGCACGCGCGCUACACUGACAAUAUCAACAAGUUUACAACCUUAACCGAUAGGUUUGGGUAAUCUUUAAAACAUUGUCGUGCUGGGGAUAGAUUCUUGUAAUUUUUAAUCUUUAACGAGGAAUGCCUAGUAAACGCAAGUCAUCAACUUGCAUUGAUUACGUCCCUGCCCUUUGUACACACCGCCCGUCGCACCUACCGAUUGAGUGGUCCGGUGAGAUGUCAAGAGAUUAAAAUUUUAUUUAUAAAACUUUGAUCAAAUCUCAUCAAACCUUACCACUUAGAGGAAGGUGAAGUCGUAACA